ACUCACGCUGGCCGCAUGCCUCACCCCUGCCAGUCGCACGCGACCUUCGGGUCUAGUGGCGCACGGGUGCGUAACGCGUGGGAACCUGCCCUUAGGUUCUGAAUAACUCCCCGAAAGGGGUGCUAAUACCGGAUAAUUUCUUCGGACCAAAGAUUUAUCGCCUUUGGAUGGGCCCGCGUUGGAUUAGCUAGUUGGUAGGGUAAAAGCCUACCAAGGCGACGAUCCAUAGCUGGUCUGAGAGGAUGAUCAGCCACACUGGGACUGAGACACGGCCCAGACUCCUACGGGAGGCAGCAGUGGGGAAUAUUGGACAAUGGGCGAAAGCCUGAUCCAGCAAUGCCGCGUGAGUGAUGAAGGCCUUAGGGUUGUAAAGCUCUUUUACCCGGGAUGAUAAUGACAGUACCGGGAGAAUAAGCUCCGGCUAACUCCGUG
Molecule: ribosomal RNA, 432 nt
Filed under: uncultured bacterium
Lineage: Bacteria
Description: partial 16S ribosomal RNA
Rfam family: Bacterial small subunit ribosomal RNA
Source: RNAcentral